GCACUAGUUCUCUAGUGCAUAUACUAAAAUUGGAACGAUACAGAGAAGAUUAGCAUGGCCCCUGCGUUCCUCAUUUUCUCUUUUUAAAAUCAGUUUCAUCUAUCU
Non-coding RNA from Oryzias latipes (Japanese medaka), 105 nucleotides. NCBI's taxonomy places the organism in Eukaryota, Metazoa, Chordata, Actinopteri, Beloniformes, Adrianichthyidae. The record is from Rfam.